AUGCCAUCUACGGACUACGGCCGCCAACCUGAUGAUGGCUUCGACCGGUACGACAUCUCACUGAACGCCACCGCGAACUCGACGCUUCCGCCGAUCAUCAAUGGCGUGGAGGUCUUCUUGCUCCUCCCUACCACCGGCGUAGCCACGGUCGUUCAGGAUGCUUCUGCCAUCACGGCGGUCAGAGACAAGUACCGGGUGAAAAAAAACUGGAUGGGAGAUCCGUGCAUGCCGAGGAAAUUCGCGUGGGAUGGAUUGAGUUGCAACUACGCUAUUUCUGGACCACCGACUGUCAAAAGCUUGAAUCUAUCUUCUAUGGGUCUGAGUGGCAACAUCUCCUCUUCCUUUGGGGAUCUAAAAGGUUUACAAUACUUGGAUUUGUCUCGCAACAAUCUCACCGGCUCCAUUCCUGACACCCUUUCACAAUUGUCAUCGCUUACACUUCUUGAUUUGACAGGAAACCGGCUUACUGGAGAAAUUCCUUCCAUGCUUCUGAAAAGAAGCCAAGAUGGCUUCCUAACUCUAAGAUAUAAUAACAAUCCGGAACUCUGCAGCAAUGGCAAUUCUUGUGUGCCUCCAAAGAAGAAGAGCAAUUCAAUGGUUCCUGUCUAUGUUGCUAUUCCAAUAGUUGUAGUACUCGUGAUUUUGUUGCUUUUAGUGCUGCUCAUUUGCAUGCGAAGGAGAAGGCAAGGAACAGCAAGCAACAGCAUCAAGCCGCAGAAUGAGACGCGCUUUACCCCGCCGCACUCUUGGGAUAGAAACAGAGACAGCUCACUGCAACUGAACAAUCAGCGGUUCACGUACGAGGAAAUAAUGGUCAUAACGAACAACUUCCAGCGAGUGAUCGGCCAAGGAGGGUUUGGUAAAGUCUAUGAUGGAUUCUUGGAGAAUGGCACCCAGGUGGCUGUCAAGCUUCGGUCUGAGUCAUCAGCUCAAGGUGUACAAGAGUUCCUGGUCGAGGCUCAGACAUUGGCUAAGAUUCAUCACAAAAAUCUUGUAACCAUGAUUGGCUACUGCAACGAUAGAGAGCACCUAGCCCUCGUGUACGAGUACAUGUCCGAAGGAGCCCUACAUGAACAUCUGAGAGGCAGACACUACGACACAACAUUAACCUGGGCACAGAGACUUCGUAUUGCACAGGAAUCCGCACAAGGGCUUGAGUAUCUACACAAGGGCUGCAAUCCACCCCUCAUCCAUAGGGACGUGAAGACAUCAAACAUCUUGCUAAAUGCGAACCUUGAGGCCAAGAUUGCCGAUUUCGGCCUACUCAAGGCAUUCAACUACGAUGAUGAUACCCAUGUGUCCACAGCCAGGUUGGUUGGCACGCACGGUUACAUUGCCCCUGAGUACCUAACAACAUUGCAGGUGACCAAUAAGACUGAUGUGUAUAGUUUUGGAGUAGUGUUGUUGGAAAUAGUCACGGGCCAACCUCGCAUCUUGAAUAAUCCGGAACCUUCAAGCAUUACCAAGUGGGUCCAGGAACGGCUUUCCCAGGGAAAAUAG
Molecule: ribosomal RNA, 1500 nt
Filed under: Triticum aestivum (bread wheat)
Lineage: Eukaryota; Viridiplantae; Streptophyta; Magnoliopsida; Poales; Poaceae
Description: partial small subunit ribosomal RNA
Source: RNAcentral